UACGGGGGGGGGCAAGCGUUGUUCGGAAUUACUGGGCGUAAAGCGCACGUAGGCGGUUACUCAGGUCAGAGGUGAAAGCCCGGAGCUUAACUCCGGAAUUGCCUUUGAAACUAGGUGACUUGAAUCCAGGAGAGGUGAGUGGAAUUCCGAGUGUAGAGGUGAAAUUCGUAGAUAUUCGGAAGAACACCAGUGGCGAAGGCGGCUCACUGGACUGGUAUUGACGCUGAGGUGCGAAAGCGUGGGGAGCAAACAGG
Molecule: ribosomal RNA, 254 nt
Filed under: uncultured bacterium
Lineage: Bacteria
Description: partial 16S ribosomal RNA
Rfam family: Bacterial small subunit ribosomal RNA
Source: RNAcentral